This 510-nucleotide ribosomal RNA is filed under the name uncultured bacterium. RNAcentral's name for it is "bacterial SSU rRNA". It matches the Rfam family "Bacterial small subunit ribosomal RNA", at positions 19 to 518 of the family's 1533-position model. The record is from RNAcentral.
CUGGCUCAGGAUGAACGCUAGCUACAGGCUUAACACAUGCAAGUCAGGGGCAUCAUGGAGCUUGCUUGCAAACUCUGAUGGCGACCGGCGCACGGGUGAGUAACGCGUAUCCAACCUUCCCUAUAGUAGAGGAUAGCCCGGCGAAAGUCGGAUUAAUACUCUAUGUUUUCCGUUGCAGACAUCUAAGAUGGAACAAAGGCUUGCCGCUAUAGGAUGGGGAUGCGUCUGAUUAGGUAGUCGGCGGGGUAACGGCCCACCGAGCCAUCGAUCAGUAGGGGUUCUGAGAGGAAGGUCCCCCACAUUGGAACUGAGACACGGUCCAAACUCCUACGGGAGGCAGCAGUGAGGAAUAUUGGUCAAUGGGCGAGAGCCUGAACCAGCCAAGUAGCGUGCAAGGAUGACGGCCCUAUGGGUUGUAAACUGCUUUUAUGCGGGGAUAAAGUUCACUACGUGUAGUGUUUUGUAGGUACCGCAUGAAUAAGGACCGGCUAAUUCCGUGCCAGCAGCUGC